AGGAAGCUGCGACUAUUUGACUGACUCUGAUUUCACGCGACUCCUUGUGAGAUUCUCCGAUUGCUUCGCCUGAGUUUCUGGGUUAACUCUCCACGCCGUCACUUUGAUCUUUGCUUUUC
RNAcentral lists this small RNA (119 nucleotides) under Arabidopsis thaliana (thale cress). RNAcentral describes it as "ATSL080840". Lineage: Eukaryota; Viridiplantae; Streptophyta; Magnoliopsida; Brassicales; Brassicaceae. The record is from RNAcentral.